UAAUACGUAGGUGGCGAGCGUUGUCCGGAAUUACUGGGCGUAAAGGGCGCGCAGGCGGGUUUUUAAGUCAGAUGUGUAAUCUACAGGCUCAACCUGUAGUUUGCAUCUGAUACUGGAAAUCUUGAGGGUAGGAGAGGACAGUGGAAUUCCUAGUGUAGCGGUGAAAUGCGUAGAUAUUAGGAGGAACACCAGUGGCGAAGGCGGCUGUCUGGCCUACAACUGACGCUGAGGCGCGAAAGCGUGGGUAGCGAACAGGAUUAGAUACCCUGGUAGUCCACGCCGUAAACGAUGGGUACUAGGUGUAGGAGGUAUCGACCCCUUCUGUGCCGGAGUUAACACAAUAAGUACCCCGCCUGGGGACUACGGCCGCAAGGCUAAAACUCAAAGGAAUUGACGGGGGCCCGCACAAGCGGUGGAGCAUGUGGUUUAAUUCGACGCAACGCGAAGAACCUUACCAGGGCUUGACAUCCUCUGAUGUCCAUAGAGAUAUGGAGUUCGAUCUUCGGAUUGACAGAGAGACAGGUGGUGCAUGGUUGUCGUCAGCUCGUGUCGUGAGAUGUUGGGUUAAGUCCCGCAACGAGCGCAACCCUUAUUCUUAGUUGCCAGCAUUAAGUUGGGCACUCUAAGGAGACUGCCGGUGACAAACCGGAGGAAGGUGGGGAUGACGUCAAAUCAUCAUGCCCUUUAUGUCCUGGGCUACACACGUGCUACAAUGGCCUGUACAGAGGGUAGCGAAGCUGUGAAGUGGAGCCAAUCCCAAAAAGCAGGUCUCAGUUCGGAUUGUAGGCUGCAACUCGCCUACAUGAAGUCGGAAUCGCUAGUAAUCGCGAAUCAGCAUGUCGCGGUGAAUACGUUCCCGGGCCUUGUACACACCGCCCGUCACACCACGAAAGUUGACAACACCCGAAGCCGGUGUACUAAUCGUAAGGAAGAAGCCGUCGAAGGUGGGGCCGAUGAUUGGGGUG
This 965-nucleotide ribosomal RNA is filed under the name uncultured bacterium. Its description in RNAcentral is "bacterial SSU rRNA". It matches the Rfam family "Bacterial small subunit ribosomal RNA", at positions 521 to 1482 of the family's 1533-position model. The record is from RNAcentral.